Molecule: long non-coding RNA, 601 nt
Organism: Mya arenaria
Lineage: Eukaryota; Metazoa; Mollusca; Bivalvia; Myida; Myidae
Exons: 3
Source: RefSeq, a predicted model, not a curated record
GGUGCCUUGAGCCAUCCUAGGAGGCAUCCCAAGUAACAACAUUAAGAACGUAUAAAUGUUUGAACUGUGCAGACUUCUUGUUGUGAGAAAAAAAGCCUGCAGCCAAUGAGAUAGAAAUGGAGAGAAGGGCAAUAGCAGCUUGCACACGUCAAGGAUCUGCAGCGCAUGAAACCCCUUAAACUGAAGAUGAUGUUCCUGAAGCCUAGAGAUGUCAGCACUCGCAGUCAGCCGCUUUAUCAUCCAUUGCUCCAUUAACCUCAUCCACCUGGUCAACACAAUUCAAACAUACCAGGUAAUGGUAAAUUUAGAAAUGGGCUGAAUUGACCAUUUGAACAUGUUGCGUCAUUUAAUUUGAAUAACAAACGUUACAGCAAUUAAACCCAAAGAAUAAUAUGUUUAUUAACUGGAUAUUUAAUUCCUAACAAGUUUAACAUGUUAAACAACCAUGAGCUUGUGCAAUACAUUAAAUGUUGACUGAACAUUACAAAUCAUAUAAUUUAAUUAUUCAACUAAUGGACUGGUUUAUUGUUUAGUCAUUUAGUCUUAUGCGAUGGUAGUGUGUACGUAGUAUGUGCCUCCGUGCGUCUGUAAACAAUUCCUC